This 497-nucleotide ribosomal RNA is filed under the name uncultured bacterium. Its description in RNAcentral is "partial 16S ribosomal RNA". It matches the Rfam family "Bacterial small subunit ribosomal RNA", at positions 28 to 507 of the family's 1533-position model. The record is from RNAcentral.
GACGAACGCUGGCGGCGUGCCUAAUACAUGCAAGUAGAACGCUGAAGAGAGGAGCUUGCUCUUCUUGGAUGAGUUGCGAACGGGUGAGUAACGCGUAGGUAACCUGCCUUGUAGCGGGGGAUAACUAUUGGAAACGAUAGCUAAUACCGCAUAACAAUGGAUGACACAUGUCAUUUAUUUGAAAGGGGCAAUUGCUCCACUACAAGAUGGACCUGCGUUGUAUUAGCUAGUAGGUGAGGUAAUGGCUCACCUAGGCGACGAUACAUAGCCGACCUGAGAGGGUGAGCGGCCACACUGGGACUGAGACACGGCCCAGACUCCUACAGGAGGCAGCAGUAGGGAAUCUUCGGCAAUGGGGGCAAACCUGACCGAGCAACGCCGCGUGAGGGAAGAAGGGUUUCGGAUCGUAAAGCUCUGUUGUAAGUCAAGAACGGGUGUGAGGGUGGAAAGUUCACACUGUGACGGUAGCUGACCAGAAAGGAACGGCUAACUACGUG